Molecule: long non-coding RNA, 1307 nt
Organism: Mus musculus (house mouse)
Lineage: Eukaryota; Metazoa; Chordata; Mammalia; Rodentia; Muridae
Product: predicted gene, 36449
Exons: 2
Source: RefSeq, marked validated
GCAUACGAAUGCUCAGCCCCUUGGCGCACAAGUCUCCAACGCCUGCCAACACCCCAACUCCCUCAACCAACAAUGCUGCAAGGGCGUAUGCAGCUCAGACCUCGAGGUUCCGAGAACUGAGGCCCGCAUAGGCCUCUAGUGUGGGGAACCCGGCGAGGGGAAAUGUUACUUGGGCGUUUCAGGGGGACAGGCGGGCUCGCCGAGGCACAGAGGAGACCCGGGCGGAGGCCCGCGUGCGCUGCCUGGUGCAACCAGAACUGCGCUCACCGCUUGCCAACGUCUUUCUUUCCUUCCUUACAGACGCAAACACUGAGCCUCGGGGGAAGCUCUGCAACCAGAGAAGCGCCCCAGUGGCCUUUCGGGGGGCUGCUGCAGCGGGACGCGCGGGCUCCCCAUCUUCCCGUCACCUACCUCCCACAGUGUGGCAGGCGCGACAGCUGCUGCCCACGGCCGCAAGGAUCCCAAGGAGCUGGCAAAGGCUGGCGGCCGGGCGCUCCAGGGUGCAGGGAGGGAGGAGAAUCCCCGGUACAAAGCGCAGGCGACAGAGAGCCAGGCCCGCAGCCGCAGUGGGGCGCCUGAAGACGUCGGAGCGCUGGAGCCGAGCACGGGCUGGAGUUGGGGCUGCUGCCGCUGGGGUUGGAGCUGGAGGCUGGAGGCUGGGACCAGGGCUGGGGCGGGACUGACGCACGGGGCGCACGCCCGGGCUCACGUGGCCGUCCCCGGGUGGCCAUCACCUCCAUGCAGCCGCCGUGUUGUCUUCUGGCUCCCCCGCCUGUUGAACGCUUCCUAGACACCUGGGUCUAACGUUAGAUUUCAUGCUGUGUGUCUGGUGGCGCAUACCCUUAACCCCAGCACUUGGAAGACAGACUGCGGGCGGAUUUCUGAGUUCAAGGCCAGCCUGGUCGUCUACACAGCUUGUCUGGCCUGGGCUUUCAGAUUAAAGACCUGAAGACCUGAACCACCUUGAAGUUGUACCAGCAAAAACACCAGAAACAUCCUCUACACUUUGUACUUCCAGAACCAUGAGCCAAAAAUCCACCUUUUAAAAAUUACUUAUUUUAUGUGUAUGGGCGCUUUGUCUGCAUGUCUGUCUAAGAGUGUCUGGUUGUCCAGAACUGGGAUUACAGUUGUGAGUUGCCAUGUGUGUGCUGGGAAUUAAAACCAGGCCUUCUUGAAGCACAGCCAGUGUGCUUAAGUCUCAGCCAGUGGUUCUCAACCUGUGGGUCCCAAUCCUUAUGUCUGGGUCAAAUGCCCCUUUCAUGGACUGACUGUGUGCUGUAAGCUGAAAUAAACCCUUUCCUCCUCAG